CUCACUGUGAGGGAAGGGCCUGGCAGCGCUACCAGGGUGGGCUCCUUGUGAGCUGCUCCUGCCCGAGCUGAAGGGAGCUUGCAGGUGUUAUAAACGGCUGAGUCAUUCCAGGCCUGUCCUGGGGAGAUGGCACAGGGGGAAUCUUGUGCAAGGCCAGGGCAGCGGUGGCAUGUGAUGGGACAGUAAAAGUAAAAGGGAUAGGAUUAUUCCUCUUCCGCUGCUGUCCUCUUCCCUAAUAAUCACAAGGGAUCGGUGUCUUUCAUGGGAGCAGAGGAAAGUGAAACUUCUGUGACUUCAAGGAGUGGACACAGGUUCGUGCCACAUCCUGUAGGAUGUUAGAAUGAGCUGCUUAGAACACCAAGAUGGGAAGUUGGUCCUGCCCUGAAAAGCUGGCAAGUUAUAUCUACCAGAAAAAAUGUUUUUAGACCACAGAGCACAGGGCAGCCUCCAGGGAAGCCAGCAUGCCUCAAACCACUGGAGGACUCUACCACUGCAGGCAGCCUCUGUGGAAGAUGAGGAGAGAUUCCAGACCAAGACAGGGCUGAGGGCUGUUCUGACUUGGAAAAUGCUUACAGACUCACGAUGAGAAUUACGAUAGCACCGGAAUGUGCUAUCAUCAGUGGAGAAAGUCAACAAAUUAAGGACUACUUGAUUUCCCUUGUGAAUUCUGCUAUCAUUUAUGUGAGAUGUAAUUAAUUCAUUGUCGAAAAUCUAUGCAGUGGAACAAGUAAAACUUGUAUUACACUGUGCUUUCCACAGGAUAGGGGAAUCUCAGCUUCAUGCAGGGUUUUGUUUUGUUUUGGUUUUGUGUUUC
Molecule: long non-coding RNA, 814 nt
Filed under: Anser brachyrhynchus (Pink-footed goose)
Lineage: Eukaryota; Metazoa; Chordata; Aves; Anseriformes; Anatidae
Description: lncRNA (ENSABRG00000018417.1)
Source: RNAcentral